Molecule: ribosomal RNA, 429 nt
Filed under: Actinomycetes bacterium
Lineage: Bacteria; Bacillati; Actinomycetota; Actinomycetes
Description: Actinobacteria bacterium partial 16S ribosomal RNA
Rfam family: Bacterial small subunit ribosomal RNA
Source: RNAcentral
UAGGGAAUCUUCCGCAAUGGGCGAAAGCCUGACGGAGCAACGCCGCGUGAGUGAUGAAGGUCUUCGGAUCGUAAAACUCUGUUAUUAGGGAAGAACAAAUGUGUAAGUAACUAUGCACGUCUUGACGGUACCUAAUCAGAAAGCCACGGCUAACUACGUGCCAGCAGCCGCGGUAAUACGUAGGUGGCAAGCGUUAUCCGGAAUUAUUGGGCGUAAAGCGCGCGUAGGCGGUUUUUUAAGUCUGAUGUGAAAGCCCACGGCUCAACCGUGGAGGGUCAUUGGAAACUGGAAAACUUGAGUGCAGAAGAGGAAAGUGGAAUUCCAUGUGUAGCGGUGAAAUGCGCAGUGAUAUGGAGGAACACCAGUGGCGAAGGCGACUUUCUGGUCUGUAACUGACGCUGCUGUGCGAAAGCGUGGGGAUCAAACAGG